Molecule: ribosomal RNA, 250 nt
Filed under: uncultured bacterium
Lineage: Bacteria
Description: partial 16S ribosomal RNA
Rfam family: Bacterial small subunit ribosomal RNA
Source: RNAcentral
GACGAACCGUGCGAACGUUGUUCGGAUUCACUGGGCUUAAAGGGCGCGUAGGCGGGUUUUCAAGUCCGGGGUGAAAUCCUCUCGCUCAACGAGAGAACUGCCUUGGAUACUGAGGACCUCGAGGGAGGUAGGGGCAUGUGGAACUUCCGGUGGAGCGGUGAAAUGCGUAGAUAUCGGAAGGAACGCCGGUGGCGAAAGCGACGUGCUGGACCUCUUCUGACGCUGAGGCGCGAAAGCCAGGGGAGCGAAC